This 389-nucleotide long non-coding RNA is filed under the name Gossypium barbadense (sea-island cotton). RNAcentral's name for it is "long non-coding RNA (GBAR_LNC000968)". Lineage: Eukaryota; Viridiplantae; Streptophyta; Magnoliopsida; Malvales; Malvaceae. The record is from RNAcentral.
AAAGGAUUAAAAUAUAAUUUUAUCAACUUAUGAUUUCUUAAACACUAAAGGGAUUAUAGAAGCAAAUUUUCAUUUUCGAGGUCAAGGUUGCUACCUACCCUCUCCCUUCGCCCUUGUUUAUAGCAUCGCCAUUCGGAACAACACACAAUUUGCUGAAGCUUGGCUUUAUAGCCUCAUCAAGUAAACAUCUCUUGAAUGUCUCGUCAUACCAAAUGAGUCCACACAACUCUUAGAAGAUAUAUGAAAAAAAGUUUUUAAUGACACACUUCAAUAUGUCAUAUCUUAACUUAAUAAACCAUUCGCCUAGUCCCUUCAAGUCCACCCUUAUAAUGCUUUCAGUUGAAAUGCGCCAUCCUACCACUGCAUAUAUAGAAUAGAGAACUUAAUGG